GAUAACGCUGGCGGCGUGCUUAACACAUGCAAGUCGAGCGGUGACAGGAGGAGCUUGCUCCUCCUUGAUCAGUGGCGAACGGGUGAGUAACACGUGAGUAACCUGCCCCAGACUCUGGAAUAACCCCGGGAAACCGGAGCUAAUACCGGAUACGAGACGGAGCCGCAUGGCUACCGUCUGGAAAGUUUUUCGGUCUGGGAUGGACUCGCGGCCUAUCAGCUUGUUGGUGAGGUAGUGGCUCACCAAGGCGACGACGGGUAGCCGGCCUGAGAGGGCGACCGGCCACACUGGGACUGAGACACGGCCCAGACUCCUACGGGAGGCAGCAGUGGGGAAUAUUGCACAAUGGGCGAAAGCCUGAUGCAGCGACGCCGCGUGAGGGAUGAAGGCCUUCGGGUUGUAAACCUCUUUCAGCAGGGAAGAAGCGAAAGUGACGGUACCUGCAGAAGAAGCACCGGCUAACUACGUGCCAGCAGCCGCGGUAAUACGUAGGGUGCGAGCGUUGUCCGGAAUUAUUGGGCGUAAAGAGCUUGUAGGCGGUUUGUCGCGUCUGCUGUGAAAAUCCGAGGCUCAACCUCGGACUUGCAGUGGGUACGGGCAGACUAGAGUGUGGUAGGGGAGACUGGAAUUCCUGGUGUAGCGGUGGAAUGCGCAGAUAUCACGAGGAACGCCGAUGGCGAAGGCAGGUCUCUGGGCCACUACUGACGCUGAGAAGCGAAAGCAUGGGGAGCGAACAGGAUUAGAUACCCUGGUAGUCCGCGCCGUAAACGAUGGAUACUAGCUGUUCGGAGCAAUCUGAGUGGCUAAGCGAAAGUGAUAAGUAUCCCACCUGGGGAGUACGUUCGCAGAAUGAA
RNAcentral lists this ribosomal RNA (854 nucleotides) under uncultured bacterium. RNAcentral describes it as "bacterial SSU rRNA". It matches the Rfam family "Bacterial small subunit ribosomal RNA", at positions 28 to 898 of the family's 1533-position model. The record is from RNAcentral.